GCAGCCACUGAGGGCGGCCAUUUUGUGCUGCUGGGUAGGGGCGCGGAUGGGGGAGGGGAGGAGAGGAAGGCUUCGCUCAGAGACGGAGGAGACGGGCAGAGGCUUCCCUUCCCUCACACACACACACGGCGCAAGAUGGCCGGGGAGGCAGCAGCUUGCCGCCCGUGCUCCUCACUCGAGCGCUUCUCCCGCUCUCCUCCGCCGCCGCCUCGCAGAGAACCCUGCUCGGCCUGGGGGUGGCCGCCGGCUGAGGGGCUCCAGCCGGGCCCAGGGUUCCAAGGGGGGGUCUCUUAUCCGCCUCAGAAAGAGACGCAGCCCCCCCAAAAAUGCGCCCGGGCUGGCUCGGCUCCGUCCCCGCCGCCCCGCGCCUUUCCCGGGGCGGCCGAGGGCAGCAGGGCUCGGCGCGCCCAGCUUCCCCCGUUCUGCUUCUCCGCUUAGGAUGAUAUUCACUGGAUGUUUAUCCCUGCGAUAACUGGUGGCUGUCAGAUGAACUAUAGAUCUGUUUUUGAUAGAUUGCCUUGGGUUCUGCUAACUGGGCUUUCCAUAUGGCGCUAGAAGAUGAAAUGCUGUAUUCUGUACGUUGUUUCAGAUAACAUCGAUGGAUUGAAUGAUAUAUCUGAUACUGACUGGAGCACCGAGUCCAGACAAAGGAAGACUCAAAGAAAGACCACGAGUUCCAAAUCAAGAUGGCAGUUCCACUGAUUGAGAGGUUGAGAAAAUGAGAACUAAUGCAUGGUUGCCGAGUAUAUCCCUCCAAGCCAGGGGCACUUUAGCAUGGACUACGCUGUUGUCUAAACCAGAGAAGACUGUGGUUUAUGGCCAUCUCACAAUGACCUUUUUGAUUAAAUGUUUUGAGCUGUGUAUUAAUACAACUCAUUUGGGAUGUGGUGGAAAUGGCUCACUGAAAUCUGGUACCAGGAAUGUGUGCAUAUAUGUUUGGUCCCUGUCUGGUGGCAGAAAUGCAAUUCAAUCUCAAAAGAUUUAAAUAAAAAGCAUUUUUACAUUUUUA
This is a long non-coding RNA of Eublepharis macularius, 1009 nucleotides long. RefSeq lists it as uncharacterized. The record is from RefSeq and is a predicted model, not a curated record. Lineage: Eukaryota; Metazoa; Chordata; Lepidosauria; Squamata; Eublepharidae. The transcript has 5 exons.